Stegodyphus mimosarum is the source of this 73-nucleotide non-coding RNA. The record is from Rfam. Lineage: Eukaryota; Metazoa; Arthropoda; Arachnida; Araneae; Eresidae.
GCCUUCGAGGUGUAGCGGUCAGAACACUCGACGCGUAUUCGAGAGAUCCGUGGUUCGAGUCCCGGCGAAGGCA